UUCCUUCCCGCCACCCCCUAAUAGGAAUGCUUAGUUUUAUUUUGACUCUGGAAGAAGUCUCCUUUCUGAGGUUCAAUUCAGCUCAAACCAAAUGCAAAUAUCUCAGGAUGCCUUUAAAAGGCUUGAACUAAAAGAGGUCACCUAAAGUCAAUGACAAGCAUCCAGACUCUGUUAUAAUCUCUUAUGUGAAACUUCAAGGACAUCAAGUCUGCAAGAUACGAUUCUCUUAGUUCUAAGGAAGAUAUGAAAACACCAAGAAUAAUACUCAGGAUGUGAUAUACUUGAUGAAGUGGGAAGCCUCCUCCACCAGGCAUUCCUGCUAUAAAAAGUACUACCUCAUCACAGACCCAAAGCAGCAUGGCCAAGUGACCAUGGACUAAAACCUGUAGAACUACGAGACAAAAUAAACCUUUCUUUCCUCCUUAUAAGUUGAUUAUCUCAGACAUUUUGUCACAGUGACAGAAAGCCAACACAACACAGACAAAAACCUUAGACUAGUUUUAAAAAUUACACUUUGCCAUGGUUAAAGCAGUAGAUAAAUGACAGAGAAUCAGAUAUAUAAGCAUGAAGACUUCCAGGAGACAGGUGCUCAAAGUAGUCUUAUUUAACAUUUUUAUAAACGAUGUGAAAGAAACAGUACCCAGAAAAGUACGUAAGUUUGUAUUAAGUUCUUCUAGUUACCAGAAUGCCAAGUAACAGAUAAACAUCUCUUUAGCAUCAAUCUGACAAAUAUGGUAGGACCCUUUUAACCAAU
Long non-coding RNA from Sciurus carolinensis (gray squirrel), 754 nucleotides. RefSeq lists it as uncharacterized. Lineage: Eukaryota; Metazoa; Chordata; Mammalia; Rodentia; Sciuridae. The transcript has 3 exons. The record is from RefSeq and is a predicted model, not a curated record.